Molecule: long non-coding RNA, 1312 nt
Filed under: Zonotrichia albicollis (white-throated sparrow)
Lineage: Eukaryota; Metazoa; Chordata; Aves; Passeriformes; Passerellidae
Description: lncRNA (ENSZALG00000002120.1)
Source: RNAcentral
NNNNNNNNNNNNNNNNNNNNNNNNNNNNNNNNNCGGUGUACCGGGAUGUGAAUUCCCUCCCGGGAUGGAAAUUCCCCGUGUACCAGGAUGGGAAUUCCCUCCCUGUGUGCCGGGAUGGGAAUUCUUUCCCGGAGGAGUACUCCCGGUAUCCCAGGACAGGAAUUCCCUCCCGGAUGGGCAUUCCCGGUGUCCCAGGAUGUGAAUUCCCUCCCGGGACGGGAAUUCAGGGUGUACCGGGACAGGAAUUCCCUCUCGGUGUGCCGGGACGGGCGUGCCCGGUGUGCCAGGACCGGAAUUCCAUCCCGAUGAGCACUCCCGGUGUCCCGGGACAGGAAUUCCCUCCCGGUGUCCCGGCCUCGCCCGCUCCGUGCCCAUCCCGAGGAGCGGCCCCGCCCCCCCGGCUCUAAUUUGAAUAAAAUCCCGCAUUUUGCUCAUUCCUGAUUUCCUCAUUCCUGAUUUGCUCGUCCCCGUUUUUCUCAUUUCCGUUUUGCCCAUUCCCAUUUUUGCUCAUUCCCGUUUCCCCCAUCCCCGUUUUGCCUGUUCCUGUUUUUCUCAUUCCCAUUUUGCGCAUUCCCGAUUUGUCCAUCCCCGUUUUUCCCAUUCCCAUUUUCCCCAUCCCUGAUUUGCUCAUUCCAUUUUUGCCCAUUCCCGUUUUGCUCACUGCCAUUUUGCUUGUUCCUGUUUUGCUCAUUCCCGUUUUGCCCAGUCCCAUUUUCUUCAUUCCCAUUUUGCUCAUUCCUGUUUUCCCCAUCCCCGUUUUCCUCAUUUCUGUUUUGCUCAUUGCCAUUUUCCCCAUCCCUGUUUUGCUCAUUCACAUUUUGCCAUUUUCUUCAUUCCCAUUUUGCCCAUUCCUGAUUUGCUCAUUCCCAUUUUUCCCAUCCCCAUUUUGCCCAUCCCCAUUUUUUCUUGUUCCCGUUUUGCCCAUUCCUGUUUUGUUCAUCCCUGUUUUGUUCAUCCCUGUUUUGCCCAUUCCCGUUUUUCUCAUCCCAGUUUUUUCCAUUCCCGAUUUGCUCAUUCCUGUUUUUCCCAUCCCCAUUUUGCCCAUUCCCGUUUUCCCAUUUUCUUCAUUCCCAUUUUCUUCAUUCCUGAUUUACUCAUCCUCGUUUUGCCCAUUCCCGUUUUACCCAUUCCUCCUUUUUCCCAUCCCCAUUUUUCCCAUUACCGUUUUGCUCAUUCCCAUUUUGUUCAUCCCCAUUUUGCCCAUUCCCAUUUUUCCCAUCCCCAUUUUGCCCAUUCCCAUUUCGCCCAUUCCUGUUUUGCUCACUCCCAUAUUUCCCAUUCCCAUUUUGCUCAUCCCCAUUUUGUUCUUCCC